This 412-nucleotide long non-coding RNA is filed under the name Mus spicilegus (steppe mouse). RNAcentral describes it as "lncRNA (ENSMSIG00000015475.1)". Lineage: Eukaryota; Metazoa; Chordata; Mammalia; Rodentia; Muridae. The record is from RNAcentral.
UCGUCUUUCUAAGUCUUUGUAAAACAAAGGUGUUUUGAGGUUGAUUUGAGGUAGUGCACAGAGAGUACUCAGGCUGGGAUCUCAAACUCGGUUAUUUCUGGAGCCAGGAUGCUGGUCUGAGCGGCGCGCAGCCGAUGGAGGUAUUUUUAAGUGCGUGUGAUCCUUGGGUUUCAAUGGCAAGGAAAAAGGAAACAUGUGGAUGGAAGACAGGACCACUGAUACUGAUUCUCCAGAUUUUGAGAAGCACUAUCAUCAUUAUUUUGAAAAGGAGUCACAAUUUCACUCUUGUGGAUGAAUAGCAGUUGAAAAUGAUGCAGGCUGACACCCUAUUGGACCAUGGUGGAGUCUCUCUCAAGGACAGUUUGAUUUUUUUUUUCCUUUUGGAUGUGGCACCAUAAAAGUCAAUGCCUGG